CGGGGCAUAGCGCAGUCCGGUUAGCGCACUAGUUUUGGGAACUAGGAGUCGCAGGUUCGAAUCCUGCUGCCCCGACCA
Molecule: transfer RNA, 78 nt
Filed under: Candidatus Margulisiibacteriota bacterium
Lineage: Bacteria; Bacillati; Candidatus Margulisiibacteriota
Description: tRNA-Pro
Rfam family: tRNA
About the family: Transfer RNA (tRNA) molecules are approximately 80 nucleotides in length. Their secondary structure includes four short double-helical elements and three loops (D, anti-codon, and T loops).
Source: RNAcentral